CCUGAUGGCUCAGUGGUAAAGAAUCUGCCUGCAAAGCAGGAGAUGCCAGUUCAAUCCAUGGCUCAGG
This 67-nucleotide transfer RNA is filed under the name Bos taurus (domestic cattle). It matches the Rfam family "tRNA". From Rfam's summary of the family: Transfer RNA (tRNA) molecules are approximately 80 nucleotides in length. Their secondary structure includes four short double-helical elements and three loops (D, anti-codon, and T loops). RNAcentral also lists the same sequence under 5 other names. Lineage: Eukaryota; Metazoa; Chordata; Mammalia; Artiodactyla; Bovidae. The record is from Rfam by way of RNAcentral.